UAUGUUUUUCUAGUAUAAAUAGUACAUUUGACUUCCAAUCAAAAAGAUUGAUCAUUAAUCAAGAAAAACA
This 70-nucleotide transfer RNA is filed under the name Gesonula punctifrons. RNAcentral describes it as "tRNA-Gly". The record is from RNAcentral. Lineage: Eukaryota; Metazoa; Arthropoda; Insecta; Orthoptera; Acrididae.